AAUGUAGUAAUUAAAGAAAAAAUAACAUUGCAAAUGUUAAAGCGAUUUCUUUU
Molecule: transfer RNA, 53 nt
Filed under: Phyllocoptes taishanensis
Lineage: Eukaryota; Metazoa; Arthropoda; Arachnida; Trombidiformes; Eriophyidae
Description: tRNA-Cys
Source: RNAcentral